CCGCGGUUCUAGGAACUUGACAUGAUGGGGCUUCCUGAGGAGCGGGGCCGGAGCGGCAGCGGGAGCCGGGGCCAGGAGGAAGCUGGAGCCGGAGGCCGGGCGCGGAGUUGGUCUCCGCCGCCCGAGGUCAGCCGCUCCGCGCACGUCCCCUCGCUGCAGCGCUACCGCGAGCUGCACCGGCGCUCCGUGGAGGAGCCGCGGGAAUUCUGGGGAGACAUUGCCAAGGAAUUUUACUGGAAGACUCCAUGCCCUGGCCCAUUCCUUCGGUACAACUUUGAUGUGACUAAAGGGAAAAUCUUCAUUGAGUGGAUGAAAGGAGCAACUACCAACAUCUGCUACAAUGUACUGGAUCGAAAUGUCCAUGAGAAAAAGCUUGGAGAUAAAUUUGCUUUUUACUGGUGUUCAAGCAGCCCUGGCCAGGGAUCAUGCGCACAGUCUAUGGGAACCACGAACGCUUUGAGACAACCUACUUUAAGAAGUUUCCUGGAUACUAUGUUACAGGAGAUGGCUGCCAGCGGGACCAGGAUGGCUAUUACUGGAUCACUGGCAGGAUUGAUGACAUGCUCAAUGUAUCUGUUAGAGAAAAGAUUGGCCCCAUUGCCACACCAGACUACAUCCAGAAUGCACCUGGCUUGCCUAAAACCCGCUCAGGGAAAAUCAUGAGGCGAGUGCUUCGGAAGAUUGCUCAGAAUGACCAUGACCUCGGGGACAUGUCUACUGUGGCUGACCCAUCUGUCAUCAGUCACCUCUUCAGCCACCGCUGCCUGACCAUCCAGUGAACAUGAUCCUGACCUUUACCUAGGAUUCCUCCUGCUCCAAACUUUGCCCAUCCUCUUUGCCCCCUCAGGAGUGCUGAGGGCCAGUGUUGACCCACACUACCCUCCCUUGACCAGCUGUCUGGGACCGGAAACCAGCUUUGUCUCCAGGUAGAGACAACAUCCUGUGACUGCCAGGCAGAAGGGACAGGGCCCAGGUCAGCCUCAGUCUGCUGUGCCUCCAGACUGCAGAGCUCUCAGAACCCAGAACAGGGACGAAAAGGCUACCUCUCCUACCCAAGUUAAGUGUUCAGAGGGGAUGUGAGGGCCUCCACUGAAGCAGGGAGGCAGCUGUGUAAUCCUAUGUCAGCUCUCUUAGGAAGCCCCAGUACUUAUAUUGGGCAUGCACUUGCCCUUAAAAACAAUGAUUUGUGAGUCCAGGAACAAUUUACUAUUUUUAAAAUAUUUUGCUGCUUCUGUUCUGGGUCUGAAUUCCCUUUUGUGCCAGAUGCCAGUACUGUCUGCCCAUUGGCUCCAGGGGCUGUAUGGGCAGAUUCAGUCUCCAGAGGGUAUUCAGAUCAUCUGCUUCUUUGAAGGAGUAAAUGUGUUUUGUUCCUAGGGCCAGAGGAGCUUGUCUUCCUUGUCCUCUGUUCUCACCCUCCCCUGAACAGAACCCAGCCCAUAAGAGACAUUCUCAGAUGAAACUCUGUUUUCUUGCCCCAGUCAGGCUCAAGCCCUGUGGUUGUAGGAAUAAAGCCUGUGAUCUCAAGAA
This 1527-nucleotide small RNA is filed under the name Pan troglodytes (chimpanzee). RNAcentral describes it as "processed transcript". Lineage: Eukaryota; Metazoa; Chordata; Mammalia; Primates; Hominidae. The record is from RNAcentral.